This 253-nucleotide ribosomal RNA is filed under the name uncultured bacterium. RNAcentral's name for it is "partial 16S ribosomal RNA". It matches the Rfam family "Bacterial small subunit ribosomal RNA", at positions 524 to 776 of the family's 1533-position model. The record is from RNAcentral.
UACGUAGGGUGCAAGCGUUGUCCGGAAUUAUUGGGCGUAAAGAGCUUGUAGGCGGUUUGUCGCGUCUGCUGUGAAAAUCCGGGGCUCAACCCCGGACUUGCAGUGGGUACGGGCAGACUAGAGUGUGGUAGGGGAGACUGGAAUUCCUGGUGUAGCGGUGGAAUGCGCAGAUAUCAGGAGGAACACCGAUGGCGAAGGCAGGUCUCUGGGCCACUACUGACGCUGAGAGGCGAAAGCAUGGGGAGCGAACAGG